Molecule: unclassified non-coding RNA, 179 nt
Filed under: rhizosphere metagenome
Description: partial ribosomal RNA internal transcribed spacer region
Source: RNAcentral
AAUGAAGCCGGGAAACCGGUCCUUCUAACCCUUGAUUAUCAUAAUUUGUUGCUUUGGUAGGCCGCGCAAGCACCGGCUCCGGCUGGUUAGUGCCUACCAGAGAACCACAACUCUUGUUUUUAGUGAUGUCUGAGUACUAUAUAAUAGUUAAAACUUUCAACAACGGAUCUCUUGGUUCU